Molecule: ribosomal RNA, 593 nt
Filed under: uncultured crenarchaeote
Lineage: Archaea; Thermoproteati; Thermoproteota
Description: bacterial SSU rRNA
Rfam family: Archaeal small subunit ribosomal RNA
Source: RNAcentral
AUAGAACACUAUACCUGGAAUGGUAUGUGUUCCAAAUGAUUUAUCGCCAUAGGAUGGGACUGCGGCCUAUCAGUUUGUUGGUGAGGUAAUGGCCCACCAAGACUAUUACAGGUACGGGCUCUGAGAGGAGUAGCCCGGAGAUGGGUACUGAGACACGGACCCAGGCCCUAUGGGGCGCAGCAGGCGAGAAAACUUUGCAAUGUGCGAAAGCACGACAAGGUUAAUCCGAGUGAUUUGUGCUAAACGAAUCUUUUGUUAGUCCUAGAAACACUAACGAAUAAGGGGUGGGCAAGUUCUGGUGUCAGCCGCCGCGGUAAAACCAGCACCUCAAGUGGUCAGGAUGAUUAUUGGGCCUAAAGCAUCCGUAGCCGGCUCUGUAAGUUUUCGGUUAAAUCUGUACGCUUAACGUACAGGCUGCCGGGAAUACUGCAAAGCUAGGGAGUGGGAGAGGUAGACGGUACUCGGUAGGAAGUGGUAAAAUGCUUUGAUCUAUCGAUGACCACCUGUGGCGAAGGCGGUCUACCAGAACACGUCCGACGGUGAGGGAUGAAAGCUGGGGGAGCAAACCGGAUUAGAUACCCGGGUAGUCCCAG